AAAUACUCUUUUCCCGCUAACUUGGAGGGAAAAUUGAAAAUUCAUAAUACCAAAUUCAGCUGCUUGAGUUUGCUAAUUUAUCGUUGUUUAGAUCGAUUAUUGAAGCAACAUAGUCUAAACCGUUGUGAUUACAUUUCUAGCUUCUUGCAGAUACAGAUCGGUGUGUUAAUCAGCUUCCAAAGGUGGAUUUCGCGUGCUCAAUAGCACAGAUACCAUGGCCAAUUAUUAUGACAUCGAUGACAUAUUAUCUGAAGAAGAGCUCGUCCCAACCGUGUUCCAACAUGCUGCAAAUGGGGUUGGGCUCUUUGAUUCAAGCGACGAUGCGGAUAAGGUGGAAGCUGGUUCGAGCCGUUCUGGCUGGUUCGUCAAUUGUAUUUGAGACAGCUUAUAUUUAUAAGGGUUCCUCCUUGUUUUGAUAGAGAAUCUAAAACAAGAGAAGAGAUAGCAGCUGAUGCUGCCCAUGUGGAUUUAAGAAGCCGGUCUUCAUAUUUUUAUGAGUUGGGGUGUAAGAUUGCAAUAUUGAAAGUGAAUGACCAUUGUGAUGAUUCCACCAGUUAUACCUGUAUCAAGUUUGCUCUCCCUUCAGAUUGUGAUCAGUAAUGCAACAUCUAAUUUCAGAAUCCAUGACAGAACCAUUGGCUCUUUCCUUCUUGUGGCAUUCCAGACCAGAUACAGGGACGUGUUGGUUAAGGCUCAUAGGUUGACACUUACAAUGACCACCAAAUACUUGACACUUUUAACUAAUGAAGAAACCAAAUUGGCUUUGUUCCUAGUGGCGGAUGGGUGGACCGAGAUUUCAAGCAGCUCCUGUACUUGGGAGGAAAAGGAAGCCGACUUAGAUGGAAUUCACGCUCUCUCUUAGAGCAUCCCCAACGGUGCUCAUGCUGAAGGACGCCGUCCGUGCCGACGGCGCGGCACCAUGCUGUCCGCCGCUGUGCUCUUGCCGACGGCACGGCGCUACUUGAUGUAUCGAGCACGUCCGUGUAACUGAGCAGGGCGACGUGGCAGCACACCAUUGGCCAACGGCUUAGCCGUUGGCAUUUUCCAUUUUUUUUAAACCGAAUUUUAAUUAAAAAAAAAUAUUUUUCCACUUCCCAAUAAAUUUUACCG
This is an RNA transcript of Salvia splendens (bonfire salvia), 1110 nucleotides long. RefSeq lists it as uncharacterized. The record is from RefSeq and is a predicted model, not a curated record. The transcript has 7 exons. NCBI's taxonomy places the organism in Eukaryota, Viridiplantae, Streptophyta, Magnoliopsida, Lamiales, Lamiaceae.